UACGUAGGGGGCAAGCGUUGUCCGGAUUUAUUGGGCGUAAAGAGCGUGUAGGCGGCCAUACAGGUCAGCUGUGAAAACUCGAGGCUCAACCUCGAGACGUCGGUUGAAACCGUAUGGCUAGAGUCCGGAAGAGGAGAGUGGAAUUCCCGGUGUAGCGGUGAAAUGCGUAGAUAUCGGGAAGAACACCCGUGGCGAAGGCGGCUCUCUGGGACGGUACUGACGCGUGAGACGCGAAAAGCGUGGGGAGCAAACAGG
RNAcentral lists this ribosomal RNA (255 nucleotides) under uncultured bacterium. Its description in RNAcentral is "partial 16S ribosomal RNA". It matches the Rfam family "Bacterial small subunit ribosomal RNA", at positions 524 to 776 of the family's 1533-position model. The record is from RNAcentral.